Molecule: RNA transcript, 1764 nt
Organism: Phragmites australis (common reed)
Lineage: Eukaryota; Viridiplantae; Streptophyta; Magnoliopsida; Poales; Poaceae
Exons: 6
Source: RefSeq, a predicted model, not a curated record
UUACUAUCACCUGCACCAACAACAUGCCCUUCUGUUUCUGCCAGCUUUCUCUGUUCAUGCCUGAUCAUGGGAGAUAGCAAGCAUGGGAUGCCUCUCCUUAUGUCGGCUGCAAAUUGCUACAAAAAGUUCUCACCACAAGAUGUUGCACAAGCACUUAACAGUGCUGCUAAUCUUUUCUUGGAAAUCGGCAUAUUGAACAUGGCUGCAAGAUACAACAAGGUGAUACACUAUUAAUGAUCAUUUAAUGUUAUAUGUGCACAUGAAUCCCUAUAUUGAACAUGGCUGCGAUUCUUCGUUAUGGAAAUGCUAAUGCGUUGUGAUCAAAUUGAUCUUAAAGUGCUGGAAACUUUUUGUAUGUCUUCCUCUGUUUCAGAUAUUUUGGAUGGCAGAUCGUAUGCAGAUCCAUGUGAAACGUGUUGAUCCAUAUUGCAGCUAGAGGUGAUAUGAUUUCAACGCGACUUGAGUUUGAUUUUCUCCGUCUCAGUUAAUAUGGUUUACAAUUUUUAUUUUUAUUUUUGAAUUUAAAGAUGCAUGUUCGAAGUAUUGAACAAAAUCAAUGUGCAGUUUCUAUCUAAACUGGCUCCGUGGUCCUGAUCUAGACGGCAUCCGCGGUAACACCAUUAGUUCACGAAGAGGACGUGAGCCUAUUCAAUCACUUCUACAAUUUCACCUUCUUCAUUUGUCGUGAAAAUGGGCAAAAGAGUAUCACCAUUCAGAGAGCUGUGGUGGCAUGGAGGAUUGUUCUAAAUGGAAGGUUUCGGUUGCUUGAUCAGCCAUUCAACUAUGUAUAUACAUGUCCAUACUCUACUUUCCCCAUUAUAGAUUAGUGUACAUGUACCUUGUUGUGAGCACUGUUGUGAGACGGACAUGUUCUAAAAAUGUUGUUCUACAAUUCAGCUUGCAUUCUAUUAUUCUCUAGAGAAAAUAUUUGCCAUGUCUUUUGGUAAUUUUGUAGACCCUGAUGGUUGCAUAGUAUCUUAUGCCUCUACAGACAAACAUCCUCCUACUCUGGAACGUGUUUGGAACAUCUGCAUUUCUCUUACAUAUCACUGCAAUAUAAAAUAGAUCAUGAGUGUAGUCCAUUUUUUGUCAGCAGAUUAUUAUUCAUGUGGCACUCAAUCAAUUAUAUUACCUCGUAAAAAUUUUCAUCUUCCGUUGCAGCAUAUGAUGAGUAAUAUUCAAUCCUAUAAACAGGGCUUAUAAGUUAGAACAUAGAAGUUUAGGUGGUAUUUUUUUUGUUUGUGCACUACUUUGUAAGUUUAAAUGAUAGACAACUUUUAAGUUAUGCUAGGAGCUUAUGAUGUUCUUUCAUUCGAAAUGGUUUCUCUGUUAACCUCAUUUUUUUUUCUUGAGCGGCGAGAUGGUGGUGCCCCGUCGUCUGCAUGCGAGCAGGAAGAUCUUUGUAGUUUCAUGAGGUGCAGAUGGAUCACAUGUACCAUCGAUGCUAGAUCGUGUGUGCCAAGGUCAUCUGGAAAGCGCUGAUACGGGAGGGUUUUGAUGCUUGUCCACUGCUAUGGGCCAUUCUAAUGGAUCAAAUGGUAAAUUAAAUCUCCAUAUUUUGAAGGAGAACAAUUCAUGAUCAGUAUAUUUAGGGGUUAAACUUUUGCAGUUCUUUGAUUAGUUUAGACUGCUUGGUGCCCUUCAUUACUGAUUUGUGUGCUAGGUCGCCGUUAUAGUUGUUGUAGCUAUUUCUAAUUAGUCAUAAUAUUAUAUGUAUUACGAAAUUAUUAUUCUGUUAUAAAUAUGUGAAAACUAUAUAAAUGG